RNAcentral lists this small RNA (664 nucleotides) under Pan troglodytes (chimpanzee). Its description in RNAcentral is "processed transcript". Lineage: Eukaryota; Metazoa; Chordata; Mammalia; Primates; Hominidae. The record is from RNAcentral.
CAGGGGAUCCUGCUAAAGCGGAGCGGCAAGUCCCUGAACAAGGAGUGGAAGAAGAAGUAUGUGACGCUCUGUGACAACGGGCUGCUCACCUAUCACCCCAGCCUGCAUGAUUACAUGCAGAACAUCCACGGCAAGGAGAUUGACCUGCUGCGGACAACGGUGAAAGUGCCAGGGAAGCGCCUGCCCCGAGCCACACCUGCCACAGCCCCGGGCACCAGCCCCCGUGCCAACGGGCUGUCCGUGGAGCGGAGUAACACACAGCUGGGUGGGGGCACAGAAUGGCAGUAAAGCUGAGGCAAAGCAAAUGGCAUACGUGGACUAGAAUGGAGGGUGCAGGGGCCCAAGCCAGGAGGGGCCCCUCAAGGAGCACUGCGGCGAUGGGUGUCAGCACCACCCAGCUCGUUCCACAAGUUGGAAGAUCUCUGAUGCAGAGACCCCCCGCCCCGCUCCCGGACCACAGUGAGGGGACAGAGCUGUGGACCGUGAAGAUCUGGGGACAGGCUGCUUCCUAAGGCACACAGGGUCCCUGCGCAGCCUCUGGCUCUCCCAGAAGCUGGCCCGCCACCUGAUGAACCCAGUGCCCUGCCGAAUGUCUCAGGCUCUGCCCUGCAGCUCUAUUUUUAGGAUAGUAUCUUUGAGAAUCCUCCCCUGCCCGGCCUCCCUU